This 253-nucleotide ribosomal RNA is filed under the name uncultured bacterium. RNAcentral describes it as "partial 16S ribosomal RNA". It matches the Rfam family "Bacterial small subunit ribosomal RNA", at positions 524 to 776 of the family's 1533-position model. The record is from RNAcentral.
UACGGAGGGUGCGAGCGUUGUCCGGAAUCAUUGGGCGUAAAGGGCGCGUAGGUGGCGGGACAAGCGUGCGGUGAAAGCUCGGGGCUCAACCCCGCGUCGGCCGUGCGAACUGUUUUGCUUGAGCACUGUAGAGGCAGGCGGAAUUCCGGGUGUAGCGGUGGAAUGCGUAGAGAUCCGGAAGAACACCAAUGGCGAAAGCAGCUCUCUGGGACGGUACUGACGCUGAGACGCGAAAGCGUGGGGAGCGAACAGG